Long non-coding RNA from Triticum aestivum (bread wheat), 3643 nucleotides. RefSeq lists it as uncharacterized. The record is from RefSeq and is a predicted model, not a curated record. Lineage: Eukaryota; Viridiplantae; Streptophyta; Magnoliopsida; Poales; Poaceae. The transcript has 4 exons.
CCCCACGUACCCUAGCGCUCCAGAUGCGCCACCCACCUCACGCACUCCCUCUCCCCCAUCGCCGCCGCCACCCCGCCGAUCCCAUCCCUCCCGAUUCAGAUCCAUUCUCCCCGAUUCAGAUCCGACCCCGCCGCCCGCGCCCGCGCGCCACCAUUCGCUCCUCCUCGCCUCCUGGAGGACGUCUGCCGCUCUUCCUCCGCCCGUCCCGGAGGCCUCGGUCGGCGCCCUCCGCCGCAGGGCCGCCGCGCUCGUCCCGCCCUCGGCGCCACACCUCCUUUUCCUCAUGGCCUCGGACCUCCCCGAUCCGUGUUCCUCGCACGCUCACCACUUCGCCUCUGUCUCCCACCAUGCCGCACGCCCCACGCCGAAAAAGGGCAGGCGAGCCACCUCCGCCUUCCCCUCGCCCCCGCGCUGGUCCCACCGCCGAGCCCAGUUCCCCUCACGUCUCCGUCCAGGCGCCGUCGCCAUCAAUCGAUCUCCCGAGCAAGCGACCUCCCUCCCCGAUCUACUCGUUGGCUAUGACUGACGAGCCGGAGGGGCGAGGGGAGGGGGAGCGUGGACGCCAACUGGCGCCCCACCCAAGACUCAGAUCCCGCCACCGCGGCCGCCGGAGGCGGGGUUGACCCGAACGCACCAGCGCCCCACCGCCGGAGGUGACUGGCGCUCCGGGCUCCAUCCCGACGCCCGCGCUAGGAUCGUCAGUAAGAUAUCCAAUCGCACUCCUCAUCCAGCUCCAUGUCUCCUGGUGCGGCGGCACAGUGGGAGGAUGUGAACGCGCCACCGCCCAGGGGUGGUGGUGGUGGUGACCUGCCUGCUCGUCCCUCGUCCUUAUCACCGGCCUCUCCGAGGUCGCUGCUAGGGCAAUCUCCAUGGGCCCUUGAGGAUGGAGUAGGAGGAUGAGCAGCAGCAAAUGAGCCUGAUGGUGAAGAAGCACCUGAUGACCAGAACUCGUUCAAGAGCUCUUUUGUCCUUCCAAAACAGGGUCUUGAUGUCCCCCUUACAGAAAAAUGUUCAUACAUGUUCCUGCAUGAUGCGUGUGUGCAUGUUGGAUGGUCAUAUUCUAGUGUACUAGCUAGCUAGUAAGCUUGUUUUGCUACCGGAUGAUUGAAUGUCAUCUCAGUUUUUACCUCAUGUAGCUCACCACCUAAUUUGUAGGUAAAGAUACCGUUGGCAUAUAUUAUCAGCAGCAUUUUUUCAUAAACAAAAUAAAAAAUGUUGAUUUAGGUCCAGAAUGUGUAUUAUCUCCAUGUUGUUGGCUAGAUGGUAAUGGCUCAUCAGAAUAGACACACACACAUGAACGCUAUUAUUUCUCUUCAGAGAAACCAAGCCAGUAUUCUGAUCCUCCUAGCCACUGCACAUGCCUGUAUUCAUAUGGCCAUUGUGGAUAAUUCUAUGCUUUAAUAAUUCUCCUUAUAUAUCACUGUUUAUUAGUAGGAGAUUUCUUCUGCUUGGCCAUAACAACAAUUUCAUGUUGUUUCUUUUGUAAUUCGAUGGUUGAUAGUCUCAUAUAUUACACUAGCUAAUAUAUUACAAUGGAAUGAAUCAACUACUCUCAUGGUCAGUCCCAUCCCAUCUAGCAUUAUUUACCGUCUAUUUGUCUGUAUGUAUUUACUUUGGAAAAAAUUCAGUCUGCACAUCUGCAUCUGCAUUGCACAAGUACAGAUACAUCCACCCCUGCUAUUUUCUUGUUAUACAUUACAUAGAUGCAUACAUACGCCAGGCUAUUUCGUCUGUCUGUCUGACCUCUCAAGGAUGCAUAUCUCGUUCGUAUGUACUGCAUUUUGUAACAAUUUCGUUUUCCUCAAUACUUACAGGAUGCUGCGCUCGCUACUUACAUGUUUUCUGAUGCCGCAACAAAGGACUAUAUGUGGUUUCUUCAGUGGGACUGUUGCUGUCGCUCCUCAUGUUCAAUAACAUUUCAGCAUUGGACCUGCUAGUCACCCAAGCCAAGCCUCGCAUCGCUUCAAUAAAGCGAUACUUCUUCCAAUCAACCCCUACUUCGGCUCUGCUCUUUUUUCCAUCUUCUCUUAUUUAAGCUAAGAAAGAUUCUGAGUUUGCAUCCAUCUCAUUACACUAGCUAGCACAAUAUAUUAGUUAAUGCAACUCUACUACAUAUCAAUUUCCCCUACUAGAUUGGUUCUAUAUUUUUAAAGUUGUUUCGUGGUGCAUGAGCCCAACCCGAAGAAAUAUAGGCUUAUGAUGACUAUUUUCCUUCCUAAGUAAUCAUAGUUGUUGGCUUCGGUAGCUUGCUGAAUAUGCUUUAGUUAUAUAUAGAAAUGACGUGCCUUCUAUGCUUAAAUGAUUGUUUGGCUCUAUAUAAUUGUUGACAUGAAUAUCUUGACUUCCCAAACAAGUAUAGGACUGUACCUAUGCAUACAUAUUAUCCUAACAAAACUAAAAAUAAAAAUUGAAGCAUGAAAUAAGCAAUAAGUGGCUGAUUUUUAUUUGCAUGUUAAGCGGAAAGUUGUAGACAAGGCUUAUAUAUUACGAAAUAUUGUCACACCUCUGAGCUUCUACUGUUGUUAGGGACAUCGUAGUGUGAUCUUCAUGAUUUUUCGCUUGAAGAUGUACCGAUUCAUUAGUCAAGCAGAGACCGAAGUCAUCUUUUGCUACUGCUAGCUCUAUGGAUGUUUAUUUACAUGCAACUUCUGCCAGCUCUAACUUGGUUAUAUAGCAGUUCAAUUCAGUCAAUCUGUUGGAACUAGUUUGUCUAUUACUUGUAUCCAGAUUUUAUAUCCUGCCCUAUGCCAUUGUCGACUUGCUUAGGUACAUAAUUGUUAUCUCUUGCAAUCUGGUAUUGAUGAUUGUCAAUGUAUUCAUUUAUACCUUUCUAGUGUACCUUGUAUGUGACCCAGCUGAUCUGUAUAUCAAUGCUCUGUUUCCAAUAGAUGUAUGCUGGUGCCUGAUGGCUGAUUCCUUAAAACUUCACUGUUGCAGUAGCAUUUUUCCUUAGUGCAUAGAUGUAUGAGCGAUCACUUAUGCUUGAAACCUUGCUCUCUUUCCCAGGAACCAUCGUGGUCUGCGUCACUACUGGGGCAGGAGAGGAAAGACUGUUGGUGUCUCCAGGAAGCGAUAAACUGCUUAAAAAGUUCCCGCAUAGCUUCACUACUACUGUGUUGGUCCAUUUCCAGAAUCAUAAGGAGUGUUCUUUUUUAGACGAUUACCUUGGAUGAUGCUUUUGCUUAAAGAGAGGCUCAAGAAUAUCAGGGAGCUCCGCAUCCGAGUUUCAGCCAUCCUCUACAGCAAGGAGCUCUAGGCCAAAGGAGCAAGCAGCGCUGCUAGUUUCUUGAGGCCAGAUCGAGUAAGAUGGUGCACCAUGGCGUGUGGUGGCGUAUUUUGCUUCCGAGAACAGUACUGUUUAUUUGAAGUGAGAUGUACUCGUCUAGUGCCUCGCAAAAAAAUGAAGGAUGAAGUGUCAUGUACUGUCUAUGUUGUAGUGAGCUAUAGUAGGAGUGAAAUGAAAAUGUAUCUGCUGUUGUAUGUGCUAUUUUGCUAUAAUGUAUUGUGUAUAUUUUACUUGAACAUUAAAUUCUCCAGAAAAAAUGUUCUUACUGGACCUGAUAGUGGCCACGGCCCAAAUAUACUUGUACUAUUAAGAUGCCAUGGCCCAAAAUAACCUGGGCUGAAAAGUUAUUCAGAAUUA